GCUCAUUUUGACAGUGCAUAUAUUAAAACCGAAGCAUUACAGAGACAAUUGGCUUGGUCCCUGAACCGAGAUGACUUAGAGACUCAUGAGACACUUACAUUUUUG
Molecule: small nuclear RNA, 105 nt
Organism: Macaca fascicularis (crab-eating macaque)
Lineage: Eukaryota; Metazoa; Chordata; Mammalia; Primates; Cercopithecidae
Source: Ensembl